This 670-nucleotide long non-coding RNA is filed under the name Daucus carota (carrot). RNAcentral's name for it is "long non-coding RNA (DCAR_LNC003619)". The record is from RNAcentral. Lineage: Eukaryota; Viridiplantae; Streptophyta; Magnoliopsida; Apiales; Apiaceae.
CCCCAGCAAAGAUCGACGCAGGAGUUACAGACGAAUCUAACAGGAACAACAGGAGGAGGAGAAGCAGUGGUUUACGGGUCUCUCUGUCUCUCUCUCUCCCUCUCUCCCUCCCUCCUUCUCUGGCUCUCUCCCCUUUAAACCAUCAGAAGCUUUGUCUCUCAAUUGAUAUAGACAAGCGUCGAAUUCACGGGUCUCUCUGUCUCUCUCUCUCCCUCUCUGACUCUCUCCCCUUUAAACUCUAUUUAUCAAUUUGCUCGAAUUCGUUAGUACAAUCUCUCUCUCCCUCCCUCUCUCCCCUUUUAUACUCUAUGAAUCUAUUUGCUCGAAUUCGUUAGUACAAUUUGUUAAUUUGCUUUUUUUUGGUGAUUGAUAGGCCCCUGUUUUCAUGUCCUGAAUUUCUUUUUUUCACCUCAUACUAAUUUACUAUCAUCACUAUGAUUUUCAUAGUUGAAGAAACUUUCUAUGCUUUUACUAUGUUUAAUGUUGGCUUUAUUAGAAAUAUAUACAAGAUAGAGAUGAUCGUGCUAAUUUUGUGUGUUUCAUGUUGUUUAGUUACACAGAGCUUCAGGUGGUUGUUCCUGAAAAUUGAGCUUUCUAUUUCCCUGUGGAGAAAUCUUAGUCGCAUUCAACUACAGGGCCAGCUAAAUGACAUAUUUGGAUCGCUUUCAGC